CCUUACACAUGCAAGUCGAACGGUAACGCGGGGCAACCUGGCGACGAGUGGCGAACGGGUGAGUAAUACAUCGGAACGUGCCCAGUAGUGGGGGAUAGCCCGGCGAAAGCCGGAUUAAUACCGCAUACGACCUACGGGUGAAAGCGGGGGAUCGCAAGACCUCGCGCUAUUGGAGCGGCCGAUGUCAGAUUAGGUAGUUGGUGGGGUAAAGGCCCACCAAGCCGACGAUCUGUAGCUGGUCGGAGAGGACGACCAGCCACACUGGGACUGAGACACGGCCCAGACUCCUGCGGGAGGCAGCAGUGGGGAAUUUUGCACAAUGGGGGCAACCCUGAUCCAGCCAUGCCGCGUGCGGGAAGAAGGCCUUCGGGUUGUAAACCGCUUUUGUCAGGGAAGAAGCGCGCUGGGCUAAUACCCCGGCGUAAUGACGGUACCUGAAGAAUAAGCACCGGCUAACUACGUGCCAGCAGCCGCGGUAAUACGUAGGGUGCAAGCGUUAAUCGGAAUUACUGGGCGUAAAGCGUGCGCAGGCGGCUUUGCAAGACAGAUGUGAAAUCCCCGGGCUUAACCUGGGAACUGCAUUUGUGACUGCAUGGCUGGAGUGCGGCAGAGGGGGAUGGAAUUCCGCGUGUAGCAGUGAAAUGCGUAGAUAUGCGGAGGAACACCGAUGGCGAAGGCAAUCCCCUGGGCCUGCACUGACGCUCAUGCACGAAAGCGUGGGGAGCAAACAGGAUUAGAUACCCUGGUAGUCCACGCCCUAAACGAUGUCAACUGGUUGUUGGACGGCUUGCUGUUCAGUAACGAAGCUAACGCGUGAAGUUGACCGCCUGGGGAGUACG
This 839-nucleotide ribosomal RNA is filed under the name uncultured bacterium. RNAcentral describes it as "bacterial SSU rRNA". It matches the Rfam family "Bacterial small subunit ribosomal RNA", at positions 47 to 884 of the family's 1533-position model. The record is from RNAcentral.